UAGUCCACGCCCUAAACGAUGUUUACUCGAUGUUUGUCACUAGAUGAGCAUCCAAGGGAAACCGUUAAGUAAACCACCUGGGGAGUACGUUCGCAAGAAUGAAACUCAAAGGAAUUGACGGGGGUCCGCACAAGCGGUGGAGCAUGUAGUUUAAUUUGAUGAUACGCGAGGAACCUUACCCAGGCUCUAAUGCUAUGCGCUACACGGUGAAAGCCGUGGUUCUUCGGACGUAUAGCAAGGUGCUGCAUGGUUGUCGUCAGCUCGUGCCGUGAGGUGUUGGGUUAAGUCCCGCAACGAGCGCAACCCUUGUCUCCAGUUGCCAGCACGUAAUGGUGGGGACUCUGGAGAGACUGCCGGCGCAAGCCGCGAGGAAGGUGGGGAUGACGUCAAAUCAUCAUGGCCUUUAUGCCUGGGGGCUAGACACGUGCUACAAUGGUAGGUACAGAGGGCAGCC
This 454-nucleotide ribosomal RNA is filed under the name uncultured bacterium. Its description in RNAcentral is "bacterial SSU rRNA". It matches the Rfam family "Bacterial small subunit ribosomal RNA", at positions 791 to 1251 of the family's 1533-position model. The record is from RNAcentral.